RNAcentral lists this ribosomal RNA (1543 nucleotides) under Helicobacter salomonis. RNAcentral describes it as "bacterial LSU rRNA". It matches the Rfam family "Bacterial large subunit ribosomal RNA", at positions 1365 to 2925 of the family's 2925-position model. The record is from RNAcentral. Lineage: Bacteria; Pseudomonadati; Campylobacterota; Epsilonproteobacteria; Campylobacterales; Helicobacteraceae.
UUCGUCAUCGUAGGGUUAGUCGGGUCCUAAGCCAAGUCCGAAAGGGGUAGGCGAUGGAAAAUAGGUUAAUAUUCCUAUACCAAUUAGGGUGUGCGAUGGGAGGACGCAUAAAGUUAGGUGAGCCAACGGAUGGAAGUGUUGGUCUAAGAGCGUAGAUUGGGAGAGAGGCAAAUCCGCUCCUGUAUUCGAAACUUGAACAGGCUCUUUGAGGUCUUUUAGACCAAGAAGAGAAUCACUGAUACUAUCGUGCCAAGAAAAGUCUCUAAGUUUAGCCCUAAUUGUCCGUACCGCAAACCGACACAGGUAGAUGAGAUGAGUAUUCUAAGGCGCGUGGAAGAACUCUCUUUAAGGAACUCUGCAAACUAGCACCGUAAGUUCGCGAUAAGGUGUGCCUACGCAAGUAGGUCUCAGCAAAGAGUCCCUCCCGACUGUUUACCAAAAACACAGCACUUUGCCAACUCGUAAGAGGAAGUAUAAGGUGUGACGCCUGCCCGGUGCUCGAAGGUUAAGAGGAUGGGUUAGCCGCAAGGCGAAGCUUUGAAUUGAAGCCCGAGUAAACGGCGGCCGUAACUAUAACGGUCCUAAGGUAGCGAAAUUCCUUGUCGGUUAAAUACCGACCUGCAUGAAUGGCGUAACGAGAUGGGAGCUGUCUCAAAGAGAGAUCCAGUGAAAUUGUAGUGGAGGUGAAAAUUCCUCCUACCCGCAGCAAGACGGAAAGACCCCGUGGACCUUUACUACAGCUUAGCACUGCUAAUGGGAAUGCCAUGCGCAGGAUAGGUGGGAGGCUUUGAAGCAGAUACUUUGGUGUCUGUGGAGCCAUCCUUGAGAUACCACCCUUGGCGUUUUUGUUAGCUAACUGGCCUAAGUCAUCCUUAGGCAGGACAAUGCUUGGUGGGUAGUUUGACUGGGGCGGUCGCCUCCUAAAAAGUAACGGAGGCUUACAAAGGUUAGCUCAUGGCGGUUGGAAAUCGCCAGUUGAGUGUAAUGGCACAAGCUAGCUUAACUGCAAGAGAGACAACUCAAGCAGAGACGAAAGUCGGUCAUAGUGAUCCGGUGGUUCUCGUGUGGGAGAGCCAUCGCUCAAAGGAUAAAAGGUACCCCGGGGAUAACAGGCUGAUCUCCCCCAAGAGCUCACAUCGACGGGGAGGUUUGGCACCUCGAUGUCGGCUCAUCGCAUCCUGGGGCUGGAGCAGGUCCCAAGGGUAUGGCUGUUCGCCAUUUAAAGCGGUACGCGAGCUGGGUUCAGAACGUCGUGAGACAGUUCGGUCCCUAUCUGCUGUGGGCGUAGGAAAGCUGAGGAGAGCUGUCCCUAGUACGAGAGGACCGGGAUGGACAUGCCACUGGUGCACCAGUUGUUCUGCCAAGAGCACCGCUGGGUAGCUACGCAUGGUUGUGAUAAGAGCUGAAAGCAUCUAAGCUCGAAGCCAACUCCAAGAUAAGCUUUCCCUGAAGCUCGCAUGAAGACUACAUGUUUGAUAGGGUGGGUGUGUAAGUGCAGUAAUGCAUUUAGCUAACCACUACUAAUAGAGCGUUUGGCUUGUUU